AAUUAGUUUCCAGUAUUCUGGAGUUUAUAGGUUUGGAAAUGGGUAAAUUUUCGAAAUUUUCGGAGUAACUUGGUACCAUGACCCGUGGUAAUAAUGAUAAUUGGUUAAAUUUUCGAGUACAUUCGAAGUGAAUUGGUUCUAAUGCGACUGUAAAUUGGUUAAAACGACACCGCGAUAGUCAAAUACAGUAGUUUUAUCUUAUGUAAUGCUAGAUGAAGUAAUCUAUAAAUUAGUUUGUUCAUUGUUAUAAAAAUUUUGAAAUUUUAUUUCAAAAUUUUUAUUUUGUUUGCAUCGGCGAAUAUGUAAUGAUUUAGUUUACGCCCUGUCGAUUAGUAGUGAGCCACUGCAUUUCAGUUGCCAUAAAAAAGCUAAAGCUCAAAACCGUGCUUAGAAAUAGAAAGCUAAAUUAUCCGCUCGACGCGCCAUCUUCUGGUCGGUAUUCACAACAGUUAGGCUUCUUACGAUUUUGCAUCGUGAUGAGAUCCACACUUGAACUCAUUUAAUUUUUGCAAUAAGCUGAUCGGGGUUGCAAAAAGAGGCGUAUAAAAAAAUGUUACCUUGUCCUUGAAAUUUUGCACAAAAGCCCACCAGCUAGGGUGUAUGAGAUGGGGUGCAACACACACAACUGCCGGUGGCUAAGCCAUCAUUUGGCGCGGGUUAGAUUGGGGGGAUCGUAGCUAGUCUAGUCGGCUAUCGUAAGUCACUUUGGUGAAAUCCGUUCAGCGAAUAACAUCGAGCUCGACCGCACUUGAAGGCUCAAUCAGCAAUAGAGCUAUAAGGCUACUCUAGUGCACAGUUAGUGUGGCUUCGAAAAUUGCACUAGCAAACUUGCAUUGACCCUAAGUCGAGUGAGGUUUUUUAUUCGCUGUGAGCAAUUUAAGCUAACUCAGCAGGCAACCCACUGUUCAACGUGGGUGUUUGUUGGGGCUUAUUUCGCUGCCAAUCUCGGGGCCAAGAAGACGGUAUCCACAACGGUGGUUUGGAGUGGAACACGUGCUACAACCGUAGUAUUGUUGCCAAUAUUAGGAGAGCUCGAACACGGUGUACGAUCAACACACCGGUCUCCAUACGGUUCCGCCGAGCCCGUCGAUUGAAGGCCUCACCACCGAUAAGCCAUCCGAGAAUCAACCACUGCCACGUGUUGAAAAAGCCAUCGUACUAGUUAAGUACGAGUCGUGUCUUGGUGCGUUAGCUGAGACACCAACCACAUGGUCGCCUCUGGUUAUUAGUUGGAGGUUGGAAUCUACCGAUGCGUAAAUUGGUUUGCUGAAUCGAAAAGGUCAGAUUAGAUUAAGACACUUGUGAAUAAUCUUAAGAGCUAUUAUGAUUAGUGACGUCACUCAGGGCUACAGGAACACAAUGAACGCUACAAUUAAACAUAUUGUGUUAGCUCAAUUGAAAGUCGUGUGUUGAAAUUGGUGGGAAGCGUUGACGGUUUCAUUGAUUUGGUUUGCGUGGGAGUAAGAUUUUGAUUUGUCCGCAUAGUUGUGGGUUGUGCAAUUCAUCUCAUACUUGUUUAAAAAAAGUUAGGGCCGCAACUCGAUUGGUAAGUUGGGAAGAUUAAGUGGGACUGAGUGUUAAAACUGUUAGCCCGCCUUGAAUCAGAGUCUCUAGCCGGGACGCAAAUCGCGCACCAACAGCCUCUCGGUUUCCGGGAGUGGCGCUAUAAGCUGUUGGCUGUUUCGGGAACUAAAACAUUCGUUACAACAUCAUAUGUGAUGUAAUUUUACAAUUUUUUUCGGGCCACACGAAAUUCUCAACAACACUGAAUUGGAAAUUUCUCAAAAUUACACGACAUGAAAUAUUACAAUACACACGUGAUAAUGUCAUGUAAAAGUUUAAACUGUGAAGAACAGGACCAGACAAACGUGACAAAAACUGUUUAGUUAAGUCGUGCGCCAAACUAUUUUUCCCGCGCGCGAGUAAUCGGUGUUGAUGGUU
This is a long non-coding RNA of Uranotaenia lowii, 1941 nucleotides long. RefSeq lists it as uncharacterized. The transcript is spliced from 4 exons. NCBI's taxonomy places the organism in Eukaryota, Metazoa, Arthropoda, Insecta, Diptera, Culicidae. The record is from RefSeq and is a predicted model, not a curated record.